UACGUAGGGGGCAAGCGUUGUCCGGAAUCAUUGGGCGUAAAGCGCGUGUAGGCGGCCAGAUAAGUCCGCUGUGAAAUCUCGAGGCUCAACUUCGAGCUGUCGGUGGAAACUGUCUGGCUAGAGUCCGGAAGAGGAGAAUGGAAUUCCUGGUGUAGCGGUGAAAUGCGCAGAUAUCAGGAGGAACACCUAUGGCGAAGGCAGCUCGCUGGGACGGUACUGACGCUAAGGUGCGAAAGCGUGGGGAGCGAACAGG
This 253-nucleotide ribosomal RNA is filed under the name uncultured bacterium. RNAcentral describes it as "partial 16S ribosomal RNA". It matches the Rfam family "Bacterial small subunit ribosomal RNA", at positions 524 to 776 of the family's 1533-position model. The record is from RNAcentral.